This 29-nucleotide non-coding RNA is filed under the name Homo sapiens (human). Lineage: Eukaryota; Metazoa; Chordata; Mammalia; Primates; Hominidae. The record is from RNAcentral.
GGCAAACGUAAUCUGUGGGGUUAGAUUCC